This 253-nucleotide ribosomal RNA is filed under the name uncultured bacterium. RNAcentral's name for it is "partial 16S ribosomal RNA". It matches the Rfam family "Bacterial small subunit ribosomal RNA", at positions 524 to 776 of the family's 1533-position model. The record is from RNAcentral.
UACGAAGGGGGGUAGCGUUGCUCGGAAUCACUGGGCGUAAAGGGUGCGUAGGCGGGUCUUUAAGUCAGGGGUGAAAUCCUGGAGCUCAACUCCAGAACUGCCUUUGAUACUGAGGAUCUUGAGUUCGGGAGAGGUGAGUGGAACUGCGAGUGUAGAGGUGAAAUUCGUAGAUAUUCGCAAGAACACCAGUGGCGAAGGCGGCUCACUGGCCCGAUACUGACGCUGAGGCACGAAAGCGUGGGGAGCAAACAGG